Oncorhynchus tshawytscha (Chinook salmon) is the source of this 417-nucleotide long non-coding RNA. The record is from Ensembl. Lineage: Eukaryota; Metazoa; Chordata; Actinopteri; Salmoniformes; Salmonidae.
CUGUCAGGGUGUAGUUCUGUCAGGGUGUAGUUCUGUCAGGGUGUAGUUCUGUCAGGGUGUUUUCUCUCUCAUUAUGUAGUUCUGUCAGGGUGUAGUUCUGUCAGGGUGUUUUCUCUCUCAUUAUGUAGUUCUGUCAGGGUGUAGUUCUGUUAGCGUGUCAGGGAUAUUCACAUCCUCUUCCCAGGAUGAGACAUCCCAUAAUAUAAGAGAUGAAACAGCUUGUAAACCGUAAACCACAGGACUCAGUAAACCACAGGACUCAGACACAUCAAGACGAAGUGACCUCUAAAGAGAGGAAGAGGAGGUCAACUCUAAAGAGAGGAAGAGGUGAACUCUAAAGAGAGGAAGAGGAGGUGAACUCUAAAGAGAGGAAGAGGAGGUCAACUCUAAAGAGAGGAAGAGGAAGUGAACUCUAAA